UUGAAUUGAAGAGUUUGAUCAUGGCUCAGAUUGAACGCUGGCGGCAGGCUUAACACAUGCAAGUCGAACGGUAGCAGGAAGAAAGCUUGCUUUCUUU
Molecule: ribosomal RNA, 97 nt
Filed under: Pasteurella multocida 1500C
Lineage: Bacteria; Pseudomonadati; Pseudomonadota; Gammaproteobacteria; Pasteurellales; Pasteurellaceae
Description: partial 16S ribosomal RNA
Rfam family: Bacterial small subunit ribosomal RNA
Source: RNAcentral